GGGGAAACAAGGACGAAGCGGAAUAUGAAGACUGCAUCUCAGUUGGAGCCUCUGGAGAGGACUUAUGCUGUGGAGACGUAUCCAUCGGAAGCUAUGUGCGCUGAGCUAUCGGAGAAGCUGGGCUUGACGGAUCAGCAGUUACAGAUGUGGUUUUGUCACCGGAGAUUAAAGGAUAGGAAGCCUACGACGGCGAAGCGGCAGAGGAAGAACUGUUGAAGAGUAGUUUUGAAGGAGCUUCACUGUCUCUGCUUAUUCGUAUUUACUUUGAAAGUCAAAAGAGUAAUUUUGAUUUCUAAAUUAACUAUGUUAGACUUUAGGGGUACGGUUGAUAUUUUCGACACUUUGGGGUUGUAUCUCAGAUAAAGUUUGAAAACAAGGGUGGUAUAAGAUAAUUUUCCAAAUAUCAAUGACAUAAUCCAUUUAGUAGGGUAAUGCUCAAUAGGGAAGCAUGAAUCCUCAAAUGAGAAUAUGACAUCUAAGAUAAACUAGUAUUUGAAUUAAUAGAACAUCUUCAGAUUCA
Macadamia integrifolia is the source of this 520-nucleotide long non-coding RNA. RefSeq lists it as uncharacterized. The record is from RefSeq and is a predicted model, not a curated record. Lineage: Eukaryota; Viridiplantae; Streptophyta; Magnoliopsida; Proteales; Proteaceae. The transcript has 2 exons.